UCGACGCAUGCCGAUUUGUUUGAAACAAGAAGCCGUGGUGUUUAAGUUUACAAACUAUGUAUGUCUGAGCUACAACGAGUCCUGGUUCAUUUUUCACAACUGCCGGCUAAAGGCAGUUAGUCGGGAUAAGGUGAUCUUGAACACGAACGGAACCAUCCUCUUUCCGGCUUUCUCCAUCAUCACUCACAGCAAGCUAUUCAAAAAGGCGAACGGAUACAAGCCAUGGCUAUUUGAUACCAAAGUGGAUGCCUGUCGAUUUUUGAAGAAACGUUAUGAUCCUUUCGCCAAAAUUGUUUAUGGUCUCUUUAAAGAAUUUUCCAAUAUCAACCACACCUGUCCGUAUGUGGGUCUGCAGGAAGUAAGGGGCUUCUUUUUAAGGCCUGAGCUUUUGUCGCUUCCCAUCCCAAGUGGGGAUUACAUGCUGUCGUUGAGAUGGUAUUUUCAUAAGAAACUAGUGUUUGACACAAACGUCAGUUUUACAUUUACAGAAGAUUUUCUUCAUGGAUAGUAACAAAUAUAAAAUAAUGUCGGCACAAGCUUGCGACAAAUUUUGCAAAAUUAUUGUACAUUUUAUAUUAACAAAAUACGCCUUGGAUGGUUGCUGAUUUGGCCGAAAACAUUAUGUGACAACCAUCGUUUACAACAUUUUUUAAGGAUAAUUCUAAUUUGAAUCAUAAUUGUCCCUAUUCGUUAAACUAUUCUUCCAGCGCCUAGGUUUCCAGGGCCUAGGUUAUGGGUGUUCAAGUGUUUCCCGAGGCAAUCCCAGUUCCACUUCCGUCUGGAAAUUACCUAAUUUUAAUUAAAGGGUCUGAAGCCGAAAUGUUUCCACAGAUCUAGUCUAGUAUUCUUCGGAAUUUACUUCUGUUUUGAGGAAUAGUACUGUUUUUUAAUGAAAAAAUUACUAUUUACGAGGAUCUGCCCCAAAGUUGCAUUAAUUUCUGGGUGUUUGAUAAAAGGAUUCUAAUCACAAUUAACGUUUAUAAGAGAUGAAAUUCAACACAUACAUUUAUGUGGCUAUUUUUAACCAGAAACAUAUUGAUUUAAUUUAAUUCUAAGGUUUAUGUAUAAUCCUGUAUGUUUCGGAAAAUUAAAUUUAAAUGA
RNAcentral lists this unclassified non-coding RNA (1101 nucleotides) under Drosophila ananassae. Its description in RNAcentral is "GF27548". The record is from RNAcentral. Lineage: Eukaryota; Metazoa; Arthropoda; Insecta; Diptera; Drosophilidae.